RNAcentral lists this ribosomal RNA (572 nucleotides) under Phoma sp. D130_101_1. RNAcentral describes it as "eukaryotic LSU rRNA". The stretch from base 146 to 301 matches the Rfam family "5.8S ribosomal RNA". The record is from RNAcentral. Lineage: Eukaryota; Fungi; Ascomycota; Dothideomycetes; Pleosporales; Didymellaceae.
CAUUACCUAGAGUUGUAGGCUUUGCCUGCUAUCUCUUACCCAUGUCUUUUGAGUACCUUCGUUUCCUCGGCGGGUCCGCCCGCCGAUUGGACAAUUUAAACCAUUUGCAGUUGCAAUCAGCGUCUGAAAAAACUUUAAUAGUUACAACUUUCAACAACGGAUCUCUUGGUUCUGGCAUCGAUGAAGAACGCAGCGAAAUGCGAUAAGUAGUGUGAAUUGCAGAAUUCAGUGAAUCAUCGAAUCUUUGAACGCACAUUGCGCCCCUUGGUAUUCCAUGGGGCAUGCCCAUUACCUAGAGUUGUAGGCUUUGCCUGCUAUCUCUUACCCAUGUCUUUUGAGUACCUUCGUUUCCUCGGCGGGUCCGCCCGCCGAUUGGACAAUUUAAACCAUUUGCAGUUGCAAUCAGCGUCUGAAAAAACUUUAAUAGUUACAACUUUCAACAACGGAUCUCUUGGUUCUGGCAUCGAUGAAGAACGCAGCGAAAUGCGAUAAGUAGUGUGAAUUGCAGAAUUCAGUGAAUCAUCGAAUCUUUGAACGCACAUUGCGCCCCUUGGUAUUCCAUGGGGCAUGCC